AGGCCUAAAAUACAUGACCCAAACCUAAAGCCCAAUUACAAUAUGGCCCAAAUGCCCAAAACAGUUUCUGAAACCCUAGGGCAACAAUAGCAGCAUCUAGCGCCGCAGCCAAGCCACUCCGCACGAGCCAAAUCUCCACUCGCGCACCUUCUCCAAACUUGUACCUGCAGCAAUAAACAGUAUAAGUAGCAAAGAUGGCAAGAAAAUCAGAAGAUCGCGAAUCAAGCAGAUAUGAAUGGAUUUUCUUUUUAUUUUCUUGUUUCAUUACGGCUAUAAAAAGCCAUUGAAAAUAUUGUAAAGGGGAAUUCGAGGAUCAAUAAACAAAAACGAGUAUUUCACAAAAACAACAAAGAAUACAAAAGAGAACAAAAAUCGAAUGUUGAUAUCUAUUUUCUUGCCUCGUUUCAUUAUUUUUUUACUUUUAUUUUUUUAUUUUUUAUACGCAAAAAUAAAAUAAAAAGGAAGAGGAAGGGACUUACCUUUGCUAGGUUUUGUAACACCGCCGGGACGGCCGAGGGAGUCACCUCUGAGGAUAGGUGGCCAGAAACCGAAAGGUUUCUUUGUUUUUUUUCUUUUUUUUCUUUUUUGUUAAUGUUUUGGGGAUUUUUGGACCGAGAUUUUGGUUUAGGGGGUUUGUAAAUACCAGAUCUGAGGUUUUCUUUUUUUUCGGCCACCGCGUAUGGCGACGCCGUCGUCGGUGACAAGUGGCCGAUGCGGUGGUCCCUUUGCCGGACUUUGGGCUGGUGCCCGAAG
This 753-nucleotide long non-coding RNA is filed under the name Gossypium barbadense (sea-island cotton). RNAcentral describes it as "long non-coding RNA (GBAR_LNC015440)". Lineage: Eukaryota; Viridiplantae; Streptophyta; Magnoliopsida; Malvales; Malvaceae. The record is from RNAcentral.